This is an RNA transcript of Lolium rigidum, 1896 nucleotides long. RefSeq lists it as uncharacterized. The record is from RefSeq and is a predicted model, not a curated record. NCBI's taxonomy places the organism in Eukaryota, Viridiplantae, Streptophyta, Magnoliopsida, Poales, Poaceae. The transcript has 4 exons.
CUUUUCCUCCCUAGCAUACGUAAGUGCCUGGAGUUCUCAGUUUCAUUCUCGUUUUGAGUAUCAUGCCUAGCUCUGAUCUCUGCUUAUGUAAAUAUGCUGAAACAAAAAUAGCAAAAAGCAUCCCAAAUUUAGAUGAGCGUGUGUUAAGAUAUGGCUGUUGUGUAAUUUGUCCUCUAAUAAUUUGGCUACAUCAGCUGUGUGGUUCAAAUCUAAGUGGACGAACAGAAGCCUCUCGCGUUUUCUUCACAUUAAUUUUGACAUACUGUGUUUAGUCUCUAUGCACUAAAUCUUUUAGGAAGAAAACCUCAUAAUAUAACGAACACAGACAAAAGGAAGUACUUUUCCAGUUUUCCUACAACUACAUUAGCAUUACUACACAAACGCUUAUACAACAACGCAAAGAGUCGAUCAAUUUAGUAAAAGCUGCAGUAACCGAACCAAACCAACAUGGUUUCAUUUAUUUAGCAAAAACGGAGCAGUAUAGAAAAAGGAUAGUACGACUGGAUGUUGUGUGGAUUUCUAUAUCAUAUAUAAACAAUUAAACAGAUAGAUUAUUGGUAUAUUUAUACUUCGUUGCAUGCAGUUUCUUUGUGAGUGAAGUAGAUUCUGGUUGGAGUGCCUCGGCCUAGUAAGCAAAUGUGAUUUCCAUGGAUACAAUUUUUUCAUAAGGAAGGCAGCUUCUAGUUUUAGCAAACAGAGUCAUAUAGGAACAGAGUAGCAUAACUGAGGUGAUUAUACAUGGAUAGGUAGGUACCUAGUUUUACAGAAUACUAAAAGAAAUGUACACAGGUUUACAAUGCCAUUGCAUUCUUCUUCUUCUUCUUCUUCUGAUAAUUGGGAUUGAUGGAACAAAAGUUUCAAACGAAAUUGCUUCUUCAUUGGUUCUGCUCUCGCUUUUGUUGUCUUUGUCUAGGGUGGGCUGAUCUAAUGGAGUUUGCCAUCUGAUUGGGGGAAAAGAACAGAGCUGUGUUACUAUAUUGCGACGAUUCCUGUAAUUUGUCCUGUAGAAGUGAGGUGUGGUAGGUGAACCGUGGAGAAGAACAGAAGCACCAAGCCGGAAAGGGAGAUCUGUUAGUCGUGCCGCCGCUGGCUGGAGCACGGGGUGCCACCGAAGCUCGAACCGCACCACCGCACGGGCUCAAGAUGAAGCUGCGGGUAGUGAUGUAGCACGGGACGCCACCGAAGCUCGAACCGCACCACCGCACGGGCUCAAGAUGAAGCUGCGGGUAGUGCUGGAGCGGGAGAGCGCCGCCACGCUGGCUGGGCCUCGGAGAGCCUCUACGUGCUGUGGCGGGGGACGUUGCUGAUUUUUUCAAUGAGCUUCUGGAUAAAGAAGAGCUAGGGGGCAGCAUAUAGUUACAUUGAAUAGAGAACAACAAAAGCUGAGUCGGGCCGAUCUGCUAUUAAUUGUGAUGCAGGUCUGGCUGGAAACCAGCAGCGUCCAUCUCCAAGAGGAGCGCAGAGGAGAGGCGGUAGAGGUUCUUUGGCAGGCUGUCGGUGUUUUGGUGAUCGAGGCUGAUGCGGCACCCGAACUUGCCGAGCAUGUGGUACUUCCAGUGGGCGAACUCCUGGGUCCGUCGUCCUCUCCAAGGUUCAAUGAAAUACCUGCAGCUUGUAAAACUACGUCGAUCUCCCACUGUCGAUGAUAUUCUAAAGAAGUAUUUGGAGCAUCGGAUAAACAAGGAUAACAAGUCACUAAUCUAUGUUAUGAAUUCUGGUUUAUUUCCCUUUUCUGCCACAAGUGAAUUUAUGACUGUGUAAUAUUUUACUGGAAUUGUGAGGUCCCUUGAACUUGCAAUCUUUUAUUAUUAUGCAACAACAUAACCGCAUAAUGUUAAAGUAUCAGUGCUGUAUUAAUUGAUGAUUCAGUUAGUAUUAGAAAAUGCCAUUUUCAUA